RNAcentral lists this ribozyme (116 nucleotides) under Aedes aegypti (yellow fever mosquito). RNAcentral's name for it is "drz-agam-1 ribozyme". It matches the Rfam family "drz-agam-1 ribozyme". Lineage: Eukaryota; Metazoa; Arthropoda; Insecta; Diptera; Culicidae. The record is from Rfam by way of RNAcentral.
UGCCCAGCAACUCCUAUCCCUACCUCCUCGUGGUACUGCCGGGGUACGAGUAACCUUGGGGAAGAUCGGGUAACCAACCCCCGGUGGGAACUUUGGUCGUAUGCUGACAGGGAAGG